Molecule: ribosomal RNA, 480 nt
Filed under: uncultured bacterium
Lineage: Bacteria
Description: partial 16S ribosomal RNA
Rfam family: Bacterial small subunit ribosomal RNA
Source: RNAcentral
GAUGAACGCUGGCGGCGUGCUUAACGCAUGCAAGUCGAGCGGAACUACUCCAAUGAGAGUCUUCGGAAAGGAUUUGGUUUAGUUUAGUGGCGGACGGGUGAGUAACGCGUGGGUAACCUGCCCUAUACAGGGGGAUAACAGUUGGAAACGACUGUUAAUACCGCAUAAGCGCACAGGAGCGCAUGCUCCGGUGUGAAAAACUCCGGUGGUAUAGGAUGGACCCGCGUCUGAUUAGCUGGUUGGCGGGGUAACGGCCCACCAAGGCGACGAUCAGUAGCCGGCCUGAGAGGGUGAACGGCCACAUUGGGACUGAGACACGGCCCAAACUCCUACGGGAGGCAGCAGUGGGGAAUAUUGCACAAUGGGGGAAACCCUGAUGCAGCGACGCCGCGUGAGCGAAGAAGUAUCUCGGUAUGUAAAGCUCUAUCAGCAGGGAAGAAAAUGACGGUACCUGACUAAGAAGCCCCGGCUAACUACGUG